GACGAACGCUGGCGGCGUGCUUAACACAUGCAAGUCGAACGGUAAGGCCCUUCGGGGUACACGAGUGGCGAACGGGUGAGUAACACGUGGGUGAUCUGCCCUGCACUUCGGGAUAAGCCUGGGAAACUGGGUCUAAUACCGGAUAGGACCCUGGGAUGCAUGUCCUGGGGUGGAAAGCUUUUGCGGUGUGGGAUGGGCCCGCGGCCUAUCAGCUUGUUGGUGGGGUGAUGGCCUACCAAGGCGACGACGGGUAGCCGGCCUGAGAGGGUGAACGGCCACACUGGGACUGGGAUAUGGCCCAUACUCCUACGGGAGGCAGCAGUGGGGAAUAUUGCACAAUGGGCGCAAGCCUGAUGCAGCGACGCCGCGUGAGGGAUGACGGCCUUCGGGUUGUAAACCUCUUUCAGCACCGACGAAGCGCAAGUGACGGUAGGUGCAGAAGAAGGACCGGCCAACUACGUGCCAGCAGCCGCCGCCG
This 478-nucleotide ribosomal RNA is filed under the name uncultured bacterium. RNAcentral's name for it is "partial 16S ribosomal RNA". It matches the Rfam family "Bacterial small subunit ribosomal RNA", at positions 28 to 523 of the family's 1533-position model. The record is from RNAcentral.